UUUCUUGGUUUCAGGAAAAAUGGAGGCUUCUUCCAGCAUUUCUCAAGGUGAAAGGACUCGUGAAGCAGCACAUAGAUUCAUUCAACUACUUCAUCAAUGUAGAGAUAAAGAAGAUCAUGAAGGCCAAUGAAAAAGUUACAAGUGAUGCUGAUCCAAUGUGGUACUUGAAGUACCUCAAUAUCUACGUGGGUACUCCAGAUGUGGAAGAAAGUUUUAAUGUGACACGGCCUGUAUCA
Molecule: non-coding RNA, 236 nt
Organism: Tinamus guttatus (white-throated tinamou)
Lineage: Eukaryota; Metazoa; Chordata; Aves; Tinamiformes; Tinamidae
Source: RefSeq, a predicted model, not a curated record